AUUCAUACCUUGUAGGGGAAAUACCAUGUUGUAAAAAUGGUUUUCCCCAGGGAGAGGCUUAUCCAUUGCACUUUGGGUAUGCUGUUGACCCCUGUGAUUUCCUUAAAUGUGGGGAACUCAACUACAUAAUUUGUGUUAAUGGGGACAUUAUGUUUGUGAUUUUUCUG
RNAcentral lists this small nuclear RNA (167 nucleotides) under Pogona vitticeps (central bearded dragon). RNAcentral's name for it is "U1 spliceosomal RNA (ENSPVIG00000017085.1)". It matches the Rfam family "U1 spliceosomal RNA". From Rfam's summary of the family: U1 is a small nuclear RNA (snRNA) component of the spliceosome (involved in pre-mRNA splicing). The record is from RNAcentral. Lineage: Eukaryota; Metazoa; Chordata; Lepidosauria; Squamata; Agamidae.